AUAUUUAUAUGUUGUGUUGUUGCUUUUAAUGUGCCUGUAAGGCUGCAGAAGGAAAGAAUGAAAUUGUUCC
Long non-coding RNA from Amblyraja radiata (thorny skate), 70 nucleotides. RefSeq lists it as uncharacterized. The record is from RefSeq and is a predicted model, not a curated record. The transcript is spliced from 3 exons. NCBI's taxonomy places the organism in Eukaryota, Metazoa, Chordata, Chondrichthyes, Rajiformes, Rajidae.